Molecule: long non-coding RNA, 850 nt
Filed under: Musa acuminata (dwarf banana)
Lineage: Eukaryota; Viridiplantae; Streptophyta; Magnoliopsida; Zingiberales; Musaceae
Description: long non-coding RNA (MACU_LNC004579)
Source: RNAcentral
GGUCAGUACAUCUCCGGAGCAAUCCUGUUCGAGGAAACUCUUUAUCAGUCGACCACAGAUGGUAAGAAGAUGGUUGAUGUUCUUACUCAACAGAACAUAAUGCCAGGGAUCAAGGUCGACAAGGUAAUCGCUUAAAUCAUGUGCCAAUGCUCCUGUGACGUCGUCUGCUAGGAGAUGGGCAGGGCUGUGUUUGACGCCAUGUUGUCUUUUCCUCAGGGUUUAGUGCCACUCACUGGCUCAAAUGACGAAUCAUGGUGCCAAGGACUGGACGGCCUGGCAUCGCGAUGCGCAGCAUACUAUCAACAGGGUGCCCGCUUUGCUAAAUGGUAGAAUUCACUUCAUAAGUUGCAGGAACCUUCCUCGUGCAUGUUCUCAGAGGACUUACAUCAAACACAUUGCAGGCGUACAGUGGUCAGCAUUCCAAAUGGCCCAUCGGCUCUUGCAGUCAAGGAAGCUGCCUGGGGCUUGGCUCGAUACGCUGCCAUCGCACAAGUACACACACUCGGUUCCUUGUGUUGUUUCUUCAUCUUAUACUGCUAAAUCAUUGGAUUAUGUAUAUGAGAAGCUAUGGGGACAUGGGGGCUAAAAGAACUAAGCUGACCUCAAGUUCUCUUCUAAUGGGUUUGCAGGACAAUGGGUUGGUGCCGAUUGUGGAGCCAGAAAUCCUGCUUGACGGAGACCACGGAAUCGAGAGGACCUUCGAGGUUGCACAGAAAGUAUGGGCUGAGGUCUUCUUCUACCUGGCCGAGAACAACGUCAUGUUCGAAGGCAUCCUCCUGAAGCCGAGCAUGGUGACCCCGGGCGCUGAGUGCCCAGAGAAAGCCACACCAAAGCAAGUUGCUGAGUACAC